This 246-nucleotide long non-coding RNA is filed under the name Elaeis guineensis (African oil palm). RNAcentral describes it as "long non-coding RNA (EGUI_LNC051593)". Lineage: Eukaryota; Viridiplantae; Streptophyta; Magnoliopsida; Arecales; Arecaceae. The record is from RNAcentral.
ACAUCCUCUUCUCCUUCUCCUACUAGAUCUCCACCUGAUGCCUCUCCGAAAGGCAUCCACCAAGCGAUCCACGGCCUCCACGGUCAGAUCUCAGGCUCUGACCUCGCCUCCAAUUUUUCAGGCUCCUCCUCCUCCUCCGACAACGACGGUCGGUAUGGAGCAGUUCGACCUAUUGGUUCAGUAGGUCAAAGGCCUCACUGAAGCAGUGCAGGCCAUGCAGCAGCAGUAGUAACAGCCGCAGACGUC